GAUGAACGCUGGCGGCGUGCCUAAUACAUGCAAGUCGAGCGAACAGACGAGGAGCUUGCUCCUCUGACGUUAGCGGCGGACGGGUGAGUAACACGUGGAUAACCUACCUAUAAGACUGGGAUAACUUCGGGAAACCGGAGCUAAUACCGGAUAAUAUAUUGAACCGCAUGGUUCAAUAGUGAAAGACGGUUUUGCUGUCACUUAUAGAUGGAUCCGCGCCGCAUUAGCUAGUUGGUAAGGUAACGGCUUACCAAGGCGACGAUGCGUAGCCGACCUGAGAGGGUGAUCGGCCACACUGGAACUGAGACACGGUCCAGACUCCUACGGGAGGCAGCAGUAGGGAAUCUUGCGCAAUGGGCGAAAGCCUGACGGAGCAACGCCGCGUGAGUGAUGAAGGUCUUCGGAUCGUAAAGCUCUGUUAUUAGGGAAGAACAAAUGUGUAAGUAACUAUGCACGUCUUGACGGUACCUAAUCAGAAAGCCACGGCUAACUACGUG
RNAcentral lists this ribosomal RNA (497 nucleotides) under uncultured bacterium. RNAcentral describes it as "partial 16S ribosomal RNA". It matches the Rfam family "Bacterial small subunit ribosomal RNA", at positions 28 to 507 of the family's 1533-position model. The record is from RNAcentral.